This is a long non-coding RNA of Alnus glutinosa, 676 nucleotides long. RefSeq lists it as uncharacterized. NCBI's taxonomy places the organism in Eukaryota, Viridiplantae, Streptophyta, Magnoliopsida, Fagales, Betulaceae. The transcript has 2 exons. The record is from RefSeq and is a predicted model, not a curated record.
GCCGUCUGCUGCAGUAAACAGUCAAAAAAAAGAAAAAAGAAAAAAAAAAGCCACAAAUUUAGGCCAUGUCAUCGAUCUGCGUCAGGCUUAGAAUUUGAAACCUAGACUAAAACACAACAUUGCAACAAACCAGCCCGCACUCUUCAAUCUGCUCAGUUCCACGGUAACGGCACAACAGAUUUGGAGGCCAUCGACGACCGAAAAAAUGUGGUUGUUGCUGUGGAGGUAAGGUUUUCUACGGUAUCCAUAUUAUCCAUGGUCAUGAGGCUAAGGAGCUGCCAGUCCCAAAUCUAGACUCGCCUGGAGCGGUGUGGGUGGGGGAUAUGAAGCAGCCGGAUUUGUACUCGCCUGGACGUUCUUCUCUUCUCCAGCUUAGCCUCUCUUCAUGGUCGUUUCAUCCUCAUCUCAACCAACCACAAACCCUCAGGACCUGUAAUUCUCUACCAUCGUAGAUGUGGGUUUUUGCAGAAUUCUGCGAUUGGCUGGGAUUUGAGAUUUCGGUUUGUUGAAUUCGCUAGGCUUAUGUUUGAUAGAAUGCCAAAGCAAGGCUCGAUUAGGUAGUUUUGCUGUUGCUAGCGGAGGAGAGGAAUAUGAUUUCUUGGAAUUCAAUGAUUAGUGGGAAAGCACAAUCUAAAGAUAAUUAGCUUAAUGUUGCAUGGGAUUUUUUUUGGGAAAA